GUUUGUUCCUAUUUUAGAAAUUCAGUGUGAGCUAAUUUUGAAAAAUAUUUUUUAAUUAAUUUUACUACCGAAAUAUCUCAUAAAAUGAGCCAUAUCUUUUUUAGUAUUUUACGUCAGCGGAUUAAUAAUAUUAUACAUAUAUUCCUAAAAAUUUAACGCCCUUUUAAUUUUAAGUUGUUGUCUAAACCAUUUAACAAACAAAUACUAUUCAAUUCCAUAAAUUUUCAAUUAAAAAAAAAAAAAAAAAACUAUUCCAAAGGAAAUCAAAUAAAAAAAAAUUCGGUACAAAAUUUAUGUUAAAAACGUUCUCAAUUCAAUUCAUUGCAUGAUGCAAAUUUCACUCUUAUUUUGUGUGUGAACUUUGUACUGGGGCGCAUUGUGAUUGUGUGUAUGUUGUAUGAUGAUGGCGAAUGGUGAUGCAACAAUGACUUGCUGCUGCUGCUGGGCUGUAUUGUAUAGUGUAGGUAGUUUGUGGUGUAAAGGCAAAAUUAAUACAGCUGUGACAGUCACAUAAUAGAUUUUCCAUGCCCAUGCCAUCCACAGAAUUGAUUUAUGUUCAAUUUUUCACAAUUUUCCUAUAUAUAUGUGAGUUUGCUCGGUCGGUACAUUGUACAAUGUACAAUUGAAUGCAUGGUGUAAAUUUUUUUUUUUUUUUAAUUUUCAAUUCGCUGCACGACACAAUUCCACACAUUUUGUAUUUUAUAAUUUUUUUUAAAGUCAUUGUUGUUUUUUUUUUUUGUUGUAUGUAGUAGGUUGUGUCUUUUCUUUUCCCUUACAAAAAAAAAAAUUUAUUGUGUUGUCAUUUGGCUUUUGUUAGUUUAAUUCAAUUUAAGUUGGUGGUCGUUGUUGGGUUGGUUUGUGUCGUCGUCGUUGUGUCUACUAAAGAAUAAAAAGCUAUCACACUCUGAAUGUAUGUAAACCAAACGAAAUCACAAAUUGGAUUAAUUGGAUACAAAAAUAAAAUCUGACAUGCGGUACGUAAUGUUAUAUGGAGUUCUUUGGAAUAUAAUCAAAAUUAUUUAAUUGGAUAUACCAUAUAAAAAUGCACAAAUUGUAAGUUUUAAUUUAAUAAACUUAUACCGAUAUAUACCUCAAUACAUAGUUGGCUUAAACGCUUCUAAAGAUAUGUGUGAUUAUUUGACCCUGUUGUAAAUAUAUUUUUUUUUCUAUUUAGAUAAGCUAUUGAUCAAAAUUUGUCCCAUAGAAAGUAGAAUAUUGACACACAUAUCUGUUUCCCAAAUUUCAAAAAUAAUCAAAUUUGAUAUUAUUUAUGCUCUAAAAUUUUGUUUUCAUUUCUAUAUUGAUAUUUUAUUGAGAAAUUAAGAAAUCAAUAGAUUAUAAAAAAUAAAAAAAAAAUAGAGAAUUGAUUAUACUUGAUGUGAAAAUGUUUAAACAACGACAUUUAUCAAGUAAUAACAUUAAAAUUCCUAAGGAAAUUUAAGCGAAAAAAUAACAUAGUAACCAUAUUAUUAAAAAUUAAAUAAAACGUUACCAUUGCACUCGAAAAGGCAAACUUUAAGUGAAUACUGUGCUUAGAUGGAUCCCUAAAGACUUUUAUAAACCAGACGUAAGCCAAACAAGAUCUAUAUCUUGUUGCAACAAUUUUUUGAAGGUAUUAUGUAUACUUACUUAGAAAACUGCAUUUUUAAUUCAAUUUCCUUCGGAAAUAGAGCAAUAAGAUCUGCAAGGAUCUCAGAUAUAUACAUCCAAAUUAAAGACCAAGAUA
Long non-coding RNA from Episyrphus balteatus (marmalade hoverfly), 1726 nucleotides. RefSeq lists it as uncharacterized. The record is from RefSeq and is a predicted model, not a curated record. The transcript has 3 exons. NCBI's taxonomy places the organism in Eukaryota, Metazoa, Arthropoda, Insecta, Diptera, Syrphidae.